UGUCCAAGUAUCCAGUAAUAGCUUCGGUCAGCCUGUUGGAUCAGAAGCUCGCCUUUUAGUAGGAUACAUGGGCAUUCUAGCACGGAAUGCAAAUAUGUUACCCAUUAACUUCGAGUCAUGACAUAAAGUGCCCGAGAGUAACAAGAACCAAGCUCUGGAUAACAUUAAGGCGAGAUUUGCUCUAGAGGUCUCCGAUGCUUAUGUAAAGAAGGCAUUGGGAAAAAGAUGGAGAGACCAUAAGAGCACUUUAAAGAAAGACUAUUUUAAGACAAAAACAACACUCGAGGAGAGAUUACAAAAUCUCCCGCCGGGAAUGCUGAGGUACCAGUGGGAAGAGGUCGUUAGAUUUUGGACUUCGAAGAAAGGAGAGGAUCGUGAAGAAGUUGGAAAAAAAAGUAGGCAGCAACAAAAAUUCAUUCACAUAGCUGGGUCGAAAAGUUUUGCGUGUGUAGCUCAUGCAGAGG
Gossypium raimondii (Peruvian cotton) is the source of this 464-nucleotide long non-coding RNA. RefSeq lists it as uncharacterized. The record is from RefSeq and is a predicted model, not a curated record. Lineage: Eukaryota; Viridiplantae; Streptophyta; Magnoliopsida; Malvales; Malvaceae. The transcript has 3 exons.